GCCUUUGCAGCUGAUGAUACAGCUUCUUUCCCCAUCAGAUCGACCUUGUUGAUCUCUACACUAUAUUGGCCAGUUUUGUCUGAUGCAUUGGC
Nomascus leucogenys (northern white-cheeked gibbon) is the source of this 92-nucleotide small nucleolar RNA. Ensembl annotates it as small nucleolar RNA, C/D box 12. Its record names the gene SNORD12. The record is from Ensembl. Lineage: Eukaryota; Metazoa; Chordata; Mammalia; Primates; Hylobatidae.